This 587-nucleotide ribosomal RNA is filed under the name Shewanella sp. NB72. RNAcentral's name for it is "bacterial SSU rRNA". It matches the Rfam family "Bacterial small subunit ribosomal RNA", at positions 337 to 916 of the family's 1533-position model. The record is from RNAcentral. Lineage: Bacteria; Pseudomonadati; Pseudomonadota; Gammaproteobacteria; Alteromonadales; Shewanellaceae.
CUCUACGGGAGGCAGCAGUGGGGAAUAUUGCACAAUGGGCGCAAGCCUGAUGCAGCCAUGCCGCGUGUGUGAAGAAGGCCUUCGGGUUGUAAAGCACUUUCAGCGAGGAGGAAAGCUUAAGCGUUAAUAGCGUUUAGGUGUGACGUUACUCGCAGAAGAAGGACCGGCUAACUUCGUGCCAGCAGCCGCGGUAAUACGAGGGGUCCAAGCGUUAAUCGGAAUUACUGGGCGUAAAGCGUACGCAGGCGGUUUGUUAAGCGAGAUGUGAAAGCCCCGGGCUCAACCUGGGAACUGCAUUUCGAACUGGCAAACUAGAGUCUUGUAGAGGGGGGUAGAAUUUCAGGUGUAGCGGUGAAAUGCGUAGAGAUCUGAAGGAAUACCGGUGGCGAAGGCGGCCCCCUGGACAAAGACUGACGCUCAUGUACGAAAGCGUGGGGAGCAAACAGGAUUAGAUACCCUGGUAGUCCACGCCGUAAACGAUGUCUACUCGGAAUUUGGUGUCUUGAACACUGGGUUCUCAAGCUAACGCAUUAAGUAGACCGCCUGGGGAGUACGGCCGCAAGGUUAAAACUCAAAUGAAUUGACGG